Osmerus eperlanus (European smelt) is the source of this 617-nucleotide long non-coding RNA. RefSeq lists it as uncharacterized. The record is from RefSeq and is a predicted model, not a curated record. The transcript has 3 exons. NCBI's taxonomy places the organism in Eukaryota, Metazoa, Chordata, Actinopteri, Osmeriformes, Osmeridae.
GAUCGGAUGAUUGUGUUUGUUUCUCAGCACCCGGUUGUAUAUGAUAAAAAAGAAAAGAACUACAAGGACAAAGAGUUUAAAGACAACGUAUGGAGAGAAAUAGCACAGGAGCUUCAGUGUGACGAUGUUGAAGAAGUGAAGAAGUUGUGGAAACAUUUGAGGGACACUUAUGUGAGAAAGAAGAGCUGGAGGAUGGAGAUGUGAAGAGUGGCCAGGCAGAGAAAUCUGGAUGUCGAGGAAGAGCGGGAAGAGGAUGCAGGGCCAGCAGAGCAGGUGUGUGACCAAGAAGAAAGUGAGCGAGAGGGUGGUGCUGUAGCUCCCAGGCCAGCCAAGGCAAAAAGGAAGAGUAGUGACAGCAUGCUGGAGGGUUACCUGAGUAAGAAGCACCAGAGAGAUUGGGUCACUCAGUUUCUUUUAAGCUUAGCCCCUGCAAUGAGGUGUCUGCCCCCAGAAAGGCAGUCCUGGAUUCGGUUAAAGAUGCAGGAGGUGUGUCAUGAGGCAGAGUUUGGAGCUGUUUAUUCUCAGCCAUACAUACUUAUUUUCCUGCUUUGUAACGGUGCUGCUAUAUUUUUCAUAUUUAUUCAAGUUAUAUUAAUGUUAUUGUUUAAUUUGUUAAA